UACGUAGGGGCCAAGCGUUGUCCGGAUUUAUUGGGCGUAAAGAGCUCGUAGGCGGCUUGUCGCGUCGUCCGUGAAAACCUGCAGCUCAACUGCAGGCUUGCGGUCGAUACGGGCAGGCUGGAGUUCGGUAGGGGAGACUGGAAUUCCUGGUGUAGCGGUGAAAUGCGCAGAUAUCCGGAGGAACCCCAGAGGCGAAGGCGGCAUCCUGGCCCACGACUGACACUCAGACACGACAGCAUGGGGAGCGAACGGG
Molecule: ribosomal RNA, 253 nt
Filed under: uncultured bacterium
Lineage: Bacteria
Description: partial 16S ribosomal RNA
Rfam family: Bacterial small subunit ribosomal RNA
Source: RNAcentral